CCAGAGUUGGGGGUACUCCGACAAGACCCUCUGAUGCUCAAGUCAGUACUCUGCUUCAACAGAAAUGGAGCACUCAAAUAAGAUAUUAGCAGAGUUUAGAGAUAGUGUUUAGAGCUUAGAGGAGAACGUAUCUGGGGGGUCUCUUUUAUAGAUGGGAGAGCGUAAUCGAUUGAUAGUGACGUCUGUAACUGCCUGGUAGUAGGCCAUUCAGGGCCACGUGGAGUUUGUUACGGAGAGUAGAGUGGCGUAUGUUGUCAUGACUUAUCGAAGAGUGGUGGGGCCAUGUGGAGUUUGUUAUAGAGAGUGGAGUGGUGUCCGUUGUCGUGACUUGCCGGGGAGUUCAGGCCGGACGGCUGAAGCUCGGUUGGGACGUCUGGUGGAGCGGAAUAGCUCUCUGUCUCAGCAAUUUAAGAGAAGCUUGGAUGUUUUCGAGGUUACUGAUGGGUUAAAUGUUGUUGGAUG
RNAcentral lists this long non-coding RNA (462 nucleotides) under Elaeis guineensis (African oil palm). Its description in RNAcentral is "long non-coding RNA (EGUI_LNC060399)". The record is from RNAcentral. Lineage: Eukaryota; Viridiplantae; Streptophyta; Magnoliopsida; Arecales; Arecaceae.